UUACAAGAGGAAAGUCCGGGCAACAUAGAGCAGGGUAGUCGCUAACAGCGACCGUCCGUAAGGAUAGGGAAAGUACCACAGAAACAAUACAAGGUAAGGGUGAAAAGAGUGGGGUAAGAGCCCACAGCGCGCCGUAGCGAUAUAGUGCGGAGGCAAACCCUACCUGUUGCAAGGAGCACUAUAUACCUUCGCUCGAGGAUGUGCGUUCACCGCUAGAACGUUAUAGCAAUGUAACGUCAAGAUAGAUGGUCAUCAACUAUAUAUUAUAUAUAGUUACAGAACCCGGCUUACUGACGG
Molecule: RNase P RNA, 297 nt
Filed under: bovine gut metagenome
Description: Bacterial RNase P class A
Rfam family: Bacterial RNase P class A
About the family: Ribonuclease P (RNase P) is a ubiquitous endoribonuclease, found in archaea, bacteria and eukarya as well as chloroplasts and mitochondria. Its best characterised activity is the generation of mature 5'-ends of tRNAs by cleaving the 5'-leader elements of precursor-tRNAs.
Source: RNAcentral